This 460-nucleotide ribosomal RNA is filed under the name uncultured bacterium. RNAcentral describes it as "partial 16S ribosomal RNA". It matches the Rfam family "Bacterial small subunit ribosomal RNA", at positions 338 to 795 of the family's 1533-position model. The record is from RNAcentral.
CCUACGGGAGGCAGCAGUGAGGAAUAUUGGUCAAUGGACGAGAGUCUGAACCAGCCAAGUAGCGUGAAGGAUGACUGCCCUAUGGGUUGUAAACUUCUGUUAUAAAGGAAUAAAACGAGGCACGUGUGCCGUUUUGCAUGUACUUUAUGAAUAAGGAUCGGCUAACUCCGUGCCAGCAGCCGCGGUAAUACGGAGGAGCAGAGCGUUAUUCGGAUUUAUGGGGGUUAAAGGGAGCGUAGAUGGGUUGUUAAGUCAGUUGUGAAAGUUUGCGGCUCAACCGUAAAAUUGCAAUUGAUACUGGCAGUCUUGAGUACAGUUGAGGUAGGCGGAAUUCGUGGUGUAGCGGUGAAAUGCUUAGAUAUCACGAAGAACCCCGAUUGCGAAGGCAGCUUACUAAACUGUGACUGACAUUGAUGCUCGAAAGUGUGGGUAUCAAACAGGAUUAGAUACCCCUGUAGUC